This 679-nucleotide ribosomal RNA is filed under the name Acinetobacter baumannii. RNAcentral's name for it is "bacterial SSU rRNA". It matches the Rfam family "Bacterial small subunit ribosomal RNA", at positions 57 to 731 of the family's 1533-position model. Lineage: Bacteria; Pseudomonadati; Pseudomonadota; Gammaproteobacteria; Moraxellales; Moraxellaceae. The record is from RNAcentral.
GCAGUCGAGCGGGGGAAGGUAGCUUGCUACCGGACCUAGCGGCGGACGGGUGAGUAAUGCUUAGGAAUCUGCCUAUUAGUGGGGGACAACAUCUCGAAAGGGAUGCUAAUACCGCAUACGUCCUACGGGAGAAAGCAGGGGAUCUUCGGACCUUGCGCUAAUAGAUGAGCCUAAGUCGGAUUAGCUAGUUGGUGGGGUAAAGGCCUACCAAGGCGACGAUCUGUAGCGGGUCUGAGAGGAUGAUCCGCCACACUGGGACUGAGACACGGCCCAGACUCCUACGGGAGGCAGCAGUGGGGAAUAUUGGACAAUGGGGGGAACCCUGAUCCAGCCAUGCCGCGUGUGUGAAGAAGGCCUUAUGGUUGUAAAGCACUUUAAGCGAGGAGGAGGCUACUUUAGUUAAUACCUAGAGAUAGUGGACGUUACUCGCAGAAUAAGCACCGGCUAACUCUGUGCCAGCAGCCGCGGUAAUACAGAGGGUGCGAGCGUUAAUCGGAUUUACUGGGCGUAAAGCGUGCGUAGGCGGCUUAUUAAGUCGGAUGUGAAAUCCCCGAGCUUAACUUGGGAAUUGCAUUCGAUACUGGUGAGCUAGAGUAUGGGAGAGGAUGGUAGAAUUCCAGGUGUAGCGGUGAAAUGCGUAGAGAUCUGGAGGAAUACCGAUGGCGAAGGCAGCCAUCUG